AGUGAACGCUGGCGGUAGGCCUAACACAUGCAAGUCGAACGGCAGCACAGGAGAGCUUGCUCUCUGGGUGGCGAGUGGCGGACGGGUGAGGAAUACAUCGGAAUCUACUCUGUCGUGGGGGAUAACGUAGGGAAACUUACGCUAAUACCGCAUACGACCUACGGGUGAAAGCAGGGGACCUUCGGGCCUUGCGCGAUUGAAUGAGCCGAUGUCGGAUUAGCUAGUUGGCGGGGGAAAGGCCCACCAAGGCGACGAUCCGUAGCUGGUCUGAGAGGAUGAGCAGCCACACUGGAACUGAGACACGGUCCAGACUCCUACGGGAGGCAGCAGGGGGGAAUAUUGGACAAUGGGCGCAAGCCUGAUCCAGCCAUACCGCGUGGGUGAAGAAGGCCUUCGGGUUGUAAAGCCCUUUUGUUGGGAAAGAAAUCCAGCUGGCUAAUACCCGGUUGGGAUGACGGUACCCAAAGAAUAAGCACCGGCUAACUUCGUGCCAGCCGCCGCCGUAA
This 506-nucleotide ribosomal RNA is filed under the name uncultured bacterium. RNAcentral's name for it is "partial 16S ribosomal RNA". It matches the Rfam family "Bacterial small subunit ribosomal RNA", at positions 29 to 523 of the family's 1533-position model. The record is from RNAcentral.